CUACUGAGAGUCAGAGUCCAGCAUUACAGUACAUAGCGGAGCGAUGCAGUGACAGCUGAACCUCUAACCAAAGAAAGGAGGUGAACAAGGAGAUGCAAAUAAAACAAAGGAAGUUUUGGAAUCACUUCCAGAUCAAGAGGAAGAAGUCAUUGGUAUCAUUACUAUGGAAGAUGUUUUAGAGGAACUCUUACAGGAAGAAAUACUAGAUGAAACUGAUGAAUAUGUUGAUGUUCACAAUAAUAUUUUUUAUGUGAUAUGUAAGGAGGAUUAUGGAGGAUUAGGUUUUUAUUUUCUUGGAUUGUGUACUUGUAAUUCUUGAUUUGUUUAGUAAUGCCUUUAUGUUCUCAAGUUGAACACUUGAAGCAUGUUGUUUAGAUCAGAGUAUACAAUUUGUUUGUAUAUUUAUAUGCCUGACAUUGUCUUACU
Camellia sinensis is the source of this 426-nucleotide non-coding RNA. The record is from RefSeq and is a predicted model, not a curated record. NCBI's taxonomy places the organism in Eukaryota, Viridiplantae, Streptophyta, Magnoliopsida, Ericales, Theaceae.